GAAGAGAGAGUUAAAGAGGACGUGAAACCGAUAAGGUGGAAACGGAUAGAGCUGACGUAUCUAGCUUGUAUUCAGCCGUCGUGUUGUGCUUGGGCGAGUUGGCCGAUCCUGCUUUUGGUUGGUCGGCAUGUCCGUGGCGUAGUAUGGCGGUGCAUUUGCAAGUGGAGUGCGCCGAGGAAUACACUUCAGCGGUUGGAGAUGUGUUUUGAGGGCUCUUUUCGGAGAGUAUCCCUGGCGCAAGGAAGACUGUUUGUUGUGUACUGAUUGCAAUGAGUAUGGCCUACGAGUCGGCCGGCUAUUUGCUCUGCGCUAGGCUAUGAUCGCAUGCGAUUGUACCUAUUGUUGGGGUAGGUGGUUGGUGCGGACUCUCAUGCUCGCUUUCGGUGUAAAAGUCGGUCAUCUAUCCGACCCGUCUUGAAACACGGACCAAGGAGUUUAGCGUGUACGCAAGUCAUUGAGUGUUGAAAACUCAAAGGCGUAAUGAAAGUAAAGGCAUCCUCGCGGAGCUGAUAUGCGAUCCUUAGCACUUCGGUGCUGAGGCGCAGCAUAGCCCCAUCCCAAUUGCUUGCAAUGGGGUGGAGGCAGAGCGUAUUCGCUGAGACCCGAAAGAUGGUGAACUAUGCCUGAGCAGGAUGAAGCCAGAGGAAACUCUGGUGGAAGUCCGAAGCGGUUCUGACGUGCAAAUCGAUCGUCUGAC
RNAcentral lists this ribosomal RNA (697 nucleotides) under Tylenchidae sp. CD3666. RNAcentral's name for it is "partial large subunit ribosomal RNA". It matches the Rfam family "Eukaryotic large subunit ribosomal RNA", at positions 378 to 910 of the family's 3401-position model. Lineage: Eukaryota; Metazoa; Nematoda; Chromadorea; Rhabditida; Tylenchidae. The record is from RNAcentral.